UGGGGAAUAUUGGACAAUGGGCGAAAGCCUGAUCCAGCCAUGCCGCGUGCAGGAAGAAGGCGUUAUGCGUUGUAAACUGCUUUUUGCCAGGGGAUAAAAUGACCGUGCGCGGUUAAUUGAAGGUACCUGGUGAAUAAGCCACGGCUAACUACGUGCCAGCAGCCGCGGUAAUACGUAGGUGGCAAGCGUUGUCCGGAUUUAUUGGGUUUAAAGGGUGCGUAGGUGGCCCUGUAAGUCAGUGGUGAAAUAUCUCAGCUUAACUGAGAGGGUGCCAUUGAUACUGCAGGGCUCGAGUACAGAUGAGGUAGGCGGAAUUGACGGUGUAGCGGUGAAAUGCAUAGAUAUCGUCAAGAACACCGAUAGCGAAGGCAGCUUACCAAGCUGUAACUGACACUGAGGCACGAAAGUGUGGGGAUCAAACAGGAUUAGAUACCCUUGUAGUCCCUGAGCGGGCUGGCAAGGCGCAU
RNAcentral lists this ribosomal RNA (467 nucleotides) under uncultured bacterium. RNAcentral's name for it is "bacterial SSU rRNA". It matches the Rfam family "Bacterial small subunit ribosomal RNA", at positions 355 to 825 of the family's 1533-position model. The record is from RNAcentral.